AACAAUCCUCCUGAUAAUAUGUUAAUAAUUCCUUUCAUAAAAUCUCACUUACUCCUAGCUCUAGAUAAAGAAACACAAACGCGAUGUGGGGAGGAAAGAAAUCCGACCUCUGUCCGGUCAUUGUUGCGCACAAGAGAAAGAAGAACGACAUCAUUCUCUUCCCCUUGAUACCCAUCUACAGUCGCGACUUUAAUAAAAUGUUUUUCUCUAUUAAGAGACUCACUUAACAAUCGCUCUAUUAGAUCCUUUUGAGCAGCAUAAAACGUUAGGCAGGUAAUUUUUUGAGGUUCAACGCCAUUAUUAAUGAGAUAGACUGCAAAUUGAACUAACAUCUGAGCUUCGAAUAAAUUAAUUUUCGAAGCAAAGCCAUCAUUGUCUUCAAUACGAGAAUGAGUUAAAAAGAAUCUCCUAAUUUCGCCCAUUCCCGGAAUACUAGGCCAAUACUUGGUAAUUUCAUAAUCCGAUAAAUCUUCGUAAACAGAACUCACUAAUCUUCGAAUCUGGGGAUGCAUUCCUAAGGUCUGUUAGUAGGAAAUUGUAUUUAAAAUUACUUACUUCUUUGCAUUGUCAACCGAGUAUAUUCCAUAUCAUUUUCAACUAAUCGUUCAAACAUAGAUAUUGAUAAAUUAAAUGGAUCUUGUCGUAAUGCAUAAGUUGAACAACCUGGUCUAAGUUGUUUGUGAUCACCGAUAAGAACCAAUUGUUCUAAAGAAGGGAAAACAGCUGGAAUAAUCGGUCCUUCUAACACAUCUGCUGCUUCCUCGAUAAAGCAAAUUUUUGGAUUUAUCCUUUCUAAUAUAUCACGAUACUUAUUUAAUCCAGUUGUGGUCAUUCCAAUUACGUUCGCUCCACGCAAAAGAAUGGCUGCGCGUUUGUUUGAAAAACCAAUACGCUCGCGGUCUACUUUCAGAUAAAAUCUAUAGAGACGAUUGAGUUCUUUUUCGGCAGCUGCAUAUGCCGAUUCUAACCAGCGACAGUAAAUGAUUCCUCUACUAUACUCUGGUAUAUCCCAAAUAUUUGGAAUAGUGAGAAGGGUAUCAAUCUCCUUUUCAUGAAGUGUUGUUAGCUUUGAAAAUAGAUAUUUGCAUCUUAAGUUAAUAAAUUUCCCUCUCAAUUCCUCUUCCAUUAAAGCACCACUGUCUUCUGCUUCUUUCUGAAUUUCUUCCAGCUUUUCUGGAUCAAUUUGUAGUUCCUCCUCAAAACCAUCCGUAAUUUCUGAUGGAGUGAU
Non-coding RNA from Schizosaccharomyces pombe (fission yeast), 1228 nucleotides. The record is from the annotation of a GenBank genome assembly. Lineage: Eukaryota; Fungi; Ascomycota; Schizosaccharomycetes; Schizosaccharomycetales; Schizosaccharomycetaceae.